This 388-nucleotide ribosomal RNA is filed under the name uncultured bacterium. Its description in RNAcentral is "partial 16S ribosomal RNA". It matches the Rfam family "Bacterial small subunit ribosomal RNA", at positions 523 to 918 of the family's 1533-position model. The record is from RNAcentral.
AUACGUAGGUGGCGAGCGUUAUCCGGAAUUAUUGGGCGUAAAGGGUGCGCAGGCGGUUUGAAAAGUUUAAGGUGAAAGCGUGGGGCUUAACCCCAUACAGCCUUAGAAACUGUCAGACUAGAGUACAGGAGAGGGCAAUGGAAUUCCAUGUGUAGCGGUAAAAUGCGGAGAGAUAUGGAGGAACACCAGUGGCGAAGGCGGUUGACGGGCCGUUAACUGACGGUCAUGCACGAAAGCGUGGGGAGCAAAUAGGAUUAGAAGCCCUAAAAGUCGACGACGUAAACGAUGAGAACGAAGUGUUGGGGAAACUCAGUGCUGCAGUUAACGCAAUAAGUUCUCCGCCUGGGGAGUACGGCCGCAAGGCUGAAACUCAAAUGAAUUGACGGGG